Molecule: ribosomal RNA, 253 nt
Filed under: uncultured bacterium
Lineage: Bacteria
Description: partial 16S ribosomal RNA
Rfam family: Bacterial small subunit ribosomal RNA
Source: RNAcentral
UACGUAGGUGGCGAGCGUUGUCCGGAAUGACUGGGCGUAAAGGGAGCGUAGGUUGCGAUUUAAGUUAGGUGUGAAAGCCCGUAGCUCAACUACGGAACUGCACUUAAAACUGGAUUGCUAGAGUACAGGAGGGGUAAGCGGAAUUCCUAGUGUAGCGGUAAAAUGCAUAGAUAUUAGGAAGAACACCGGAGGCGAAGGCGGCUCACUGGACUGGUAUUGACGCUGAGGUGCGAAAGCGUGGGGAGCAAACAGG